This is a long non-coding RNA of Austrofundulus limnaeus, 733 nucleotides long. RefSeq lists it as uncharacterized. Lineage: Eukaryota; Metazoa; Chordata; Actinopteri; Cyprinodontiformes; Rivulidae. The transcript has 3 exons. The record is from RefSeq and is a predicted model, not a curated record.
UGUGUGUGUGUGUGUGUGUGUGUGUGUGUGUGUGUGUGUGUGUGUGAGAACUGGUUUGUAUCACUAAAUAUCACUAACCACUGUGUUGCCUCUGCUUUGUUUUUUAUGCUGAAACUGUAUGUUUUUGAAGUGUCUCCCCCUCUGAACGCCAUAACAUUCUAACCUCACUAACCUGAUUAAUGUGUGUGUUUGUGUGUGUGUGUGUGUGUGUGUGUGUGUGAGAUAACUGCUGAGGAAUUUCAAUGGCCUCUAAGCCCUCAGAGAUCUCCUCCUCACCUCCUCCAUCCAUCUCCCUCUGUUUAACUGUCUGCCUCUCCAUUUAUCAGAGCCUCUGGCCCGGUCCGGCCCGGCCCGGCCCGUCUCGGCCCAGCCUGGUCCCUGCUCGCUCAGCUCGGUUCAGACACAGAUCCACCUGCAGACAUGAAAGAGAACCAGAGUCUGUCCAGCAGAGUCCUGGAGAGCAGCCGAAGCUUCACAUCAGCUGAAAUAACAUCUGAAGACUUCUUUAGCUGCUACUAAAGACGUGAGCUGCACGGCUGCCGUCACGCCGAGCCUCCACCUCUGACCCUGUCCUCCGGCCCGUCUCACAUCAGGACCGAGGACGGGGCGUGGACUCAGCUGCCGUCUGUCCGCUGGCUCAGAGGGACCCUCUGCAGUGUGAGUGAGCAGGAAGGAGACGUGGAAGUCCUGACAAAAUAAAAGCUUUUUAUAAGACUUCAAACUAAAAGCAUCA